GGGGCUCCGUGAGGGGCUGGGACGGGCGCGAGUUGGAAGGGAGGGAAUUUAGGUUAUCAGAAAUUUAAGGCACUGGUACAGGUAAGCGGUGAAUGAUUAGCCCGCUCGAACACAGAUAAAGAACGCACUAAGAGAACGCCUGAGACCAAAAAUCGGCACUGGAUCAAAGGCGCGGGAAGAAUGAGUGCAUGGACUGAGGGUAUGACAGCUCAGGGACUUCUCUGUUGAGAGUCCCGCUGUGCAGACACCCAGCUUGAGCUGACCUGCUGCUGUACCAGGCUAUUACUAUUUACUUCUAGAAAUCCAGCCCCUGAGGCUGUUGGGGAAGCUCGGGUUGAGCCCGAAGAGGAGGAAGCAUGCCUGGCAGGCAGUGUGGGUGAGCGCUGAGGCCGCCCAGCCUCCCCUGGGCAGAAGCUGCUUCGCAGUACACCAGCUUAGCUCUGCUCCAGGGAGGUGCCAUCUCCAACCUGUGUUGCUGGUGUCCAAGUCAGCUUCCAGGCUUGUUCAUCCACGUUUUCUACAACUGCACUAAUUCCUGGGGACCUUCUUGCACUUCCCAGCCACUGAGAGGUCGAGGUUUGUGUCCAUCAGCAUGCAGAUGCAGAAUGGAAGUUAAAAUGUUGCAAAAUACAUUGAACGUCUAGGCAGAGGCACCAAGUUCUACAGGACAGGGUGAAAAUAAAACUGCCCAGAGGAGUCUUCUUCAUAACGUCUUCAUUAAUCUGUGAAGUAUCAGAAGUUCCUAGGCUUAUUUUCCACAGUCUGUGGCUGAAGGCAGUAUUUACAACUUCCACCAACCUCAUACACAGACUCCACCAGCCUUUCCACCUUGCUUUUUAUUCCUGGGAAAAAAUCUGAUUGACUGCAGAUAUUUGCUGCCAGUGCUCUCGAGCAGCAAUUUAUACUCAACAACCCAGUUAUAAAGUUCUAACUGCAGCAGUGCAAAUGCUUGGUGACUCGAAGCACAUGCAAAUUGAAGCAAAGCUGCCUGCUCCUGAGAAGCUACUAGCAUAAGUCUUGGCAAGACCCAUAAUUAAAGUGCGCAAUAGGAGAAUAAAACUGGAAAGGACCAGUGAUCAUUCUAAUCACAGACUUGUACUAAAAUCUUUGUCUCCAUUUUUAUCUUGCUGGGUUUAUUUUUUUUUUCCUGAACACAUAUUUUUAUUCUCCCCCUUCUAAAACAUGUAUUUCUUGUUAAUGUGAAUUCCUUCCGAUCUAACUUUUUACAACUACUUCUUUUAUUUCUUUACCACUGCCUGCAGAAACAACUCCUCCCAGCCUUUAACAGCUGCAUAAAUUAAGUAUCUCUUAUUAUGUAUAUACAGUUUCAGUCUCAUCGUUGUAACUGGACACGGUUCGAUAUUUAAGAGAUAUCAAGCCUAAAAACACACAAAGAAGUCCAUGAGUGAUUCUUUCUGGAGUUUCGUAAUAGUCUUUUUGCCAUGUAAGAAAUACCACUGUGCUGUGCACGUGUGCAGAUCUGGGAAUGCCAUUAGACUACAGCUAAAAUCUUGUUUAUCAUCUGCCCUAACUCUGGUGUUCUCCUGUAACACUAUUGAACACUCUAUUCAGUGGUAAUUUAGGAAAAAAAAAUGAGGCCAUUAAAAAAAAAAAUCACAAGGCUUGGCCUCAUUUUGUACACUAAG
Molecule: long non-coding RNA, 1646 nt
Organism: Passer domesticus (house sparrow)
Lineage: Eukaryota; Metazoa; Chordata; Aves; Passeriformes; Passeridae
Exons: 3
Source: RefSeq, a predicted model, not a curated record